UUACUGGUGCCCUAGUUGAAUUAGAACCACACCAACCCAUCCCGAACUUGGUUGUGAAAUGAUUCAAAGGCGAAAAUACUUUUAGGGUAGCCUUCUGGGAAAAUAGUUUGGCGCCAGUAA
This 120-nucleotide ribosomal RNA is filed under the name Watanabea reniformis. Lineage: Eukaryota; Viridiplantae; Chlorophyta; Trebouxiophyceae; Watanabeales; Watanabeaceae. The record is from RNAcentral.